Molecule: non-coding RNA, 24 nt
Filed under: Arabidopsis thaliana (thale cress)
Lineage: Eukaryota; Viridiplantae; Streptophyta; Magnoliopsida; Brassicales; Brassicaceae
Source: RNAcentral
ACAUCAUCUACUUUCGGAUUCAUG